Long non-coding RNA from Populus trichocarpa (black cottonwood), 396 nucleotides. RefSeq lists it as uncharacterized. The record is from RefSeq and is a predicted model, not a curated record. Lineage: Eukaryota; Viridiplantae; Streptophyta; Magnoliopsida; Malpighiales; Salicaceae. The transcript has 3 exons.
UGAUGUUUCCUACAAUAACUUUUCAUGGCUGCCAAGCUGUCGCGAUGCCCUGCGUAUAAACACGUACAGGAGUUCAUUCAUCAAGAAUAACUUAAGCGGACUUCUUCCAUGCUCAAGCAUACAUGAGUGCCCCAAAAGUAUGAUAUUCCUUUCCCUCCUUAAAUGAGAAGUAACGAAGUUCUUUAAAAUCAAAGCACAUCUGUUUCAAAUUUAUCAACAUACCGAAAUCAGUAAUCUACGAUAAUAUCAGUGUCUGUGUAUUUAUUUGAGCACGAGUACUAAUUUCAAUGUAGAUUUUUUUGCCUUAAUUCUACAUUCUAUUCUGCACACAGAUUUAUUAAGGAUGUAUUCAUUCUCAGUUUCGUUGGACAAGUAAGGAUUUAUCUGUAACCAAAA